GAGGCUAUAGCUCAGUGGUAGAGUCCAUGCGUAGCAUGCGUGAUGUCCUGGGUUCAAUCCCCAGUCCCUCCA
RNAcentral lists this transfer RNA (72 nucleotides) under Camelus bactrianus (Bactrian camel). It matches the Rfam family "tRNA". From Rfam's summary of the family: Transfer RNA (tRNA) molecules are approximately 80 nucleotides in length. Their secondary structure includes four short double-helical elements and three loops (D, anti-codon, and T loops). The record is from Rfam by way of RNAcentral. RNAcentral also lists the same sequence under 2 other names. Lineage: Eukaryota; Metazoa; Chordata; Mammalia; Artiodactyla; Camelidae.